GGGCCGAGGGGCCGAGGCAGCGUGCUGGCUGCAGCGUGUUGGCUGCGCAUGAGGCCGAGGGGCCGAGGCAGCGGGCUGCUUGCUGCGCAUGGGGCCGAGGAGCCGAGGCAGGGGCUGGCUGCAGCGUCUCGGCUGCGCAUGAGGCCGAGGAGCCGAGGCCAGCCCCAGAAGUCGCUGCUGCUGGUGCAGGUCGGCUGCAGUGGAGCAACCAAGGAGAAGACUAACGUACCGUCAUUCCGGGCCCUCCUUCUAGCGCCAUUCUGUUACGGUAAGUAACUUUUUAAGCCGUGGCCUCGGGGCCGUCGCGGCUUGGUUCGGGUCCGGAAGGCGGGGAUCUCCGCGGGGGCACUCCUCGAGCCCGCUGAAUCUCUGAAGGUGGGGAUCUCCGAAGGCUUCGCACCUGCACAAAGGUCGGGUCGGGGUGCUCGACCCGACCCCUCCGACGAUCAAGUUAGCGACGUGGAGAGGGUGGUGGAAGAGGG
This 482-nucleotide long non-coding RNA is filed under the name Musa acuminata (dwarf banana). Its description in RNAcentral is "long non-coding RNA (MACU_LNC008853)". Lineage: Eukaryota; Viridiplantae; Streptophyta; Magnoliopsida; Zingiberales; Musaceae. The record is from RNAcentral.